Molecule: ribosomal RNA, 492 nt
Filed under: Propionivibrio sp. canine oral taxon 223
Lineage: Bacteria; Pseudomonadati; Pseudomonadota; Betaproteobacteria; Rhodocyclales; Rhodocyclaceae
Description: bacterial SSU rRNA
Rfam family: Bacterial small subunit ribosomal RNA
Source: RNAcentral
GAGUUUGAUCCUGGCUCAGAUUGAACGCUGGCGGCAUGCCUUACACAUGCAAGUCGGACGGCAGCACGGGUGCUUGCACCUGGUGGCGAGUGGCGAACGGGUGAGUAAAGCAUCGGAACGUACCCGGAAGUGGGGGAUAACGUAGCGAAAGUUACGCUAAUACCGCAUAUUCUGUGAGCAGGAAAGCGGGGGCUCGCAAGACCUCGCGCUUCUGGAGCGGCCGAUGUCGGAUUAGCUAGUUGGUGGGGUAAUGGCCUACCAAGGCGACGAUCUGUAGCGGGUCUGAGAGGAUGAUCCGCCACACUGGGACUGAGACACGGCCCAGACUCCUACGGGAGGCAGCAGUGGGGAAUUUUGGACAAUGGGCGCAAGCCUGAUCCAGCCAUGCCGCGUGAGUGAAGAAGGCCUUCGGGUUGUAAAGCUCUUUUGUUGGGAAAGAAAAGGUUUGGGUUAAUACCCUGAAUCGAUGACGUACCCAAAGAAUAAGCACCG